RNAcentral lists this long non-coding RNA (216 nucleotides) under Mytilus galloprovincialis (Mediterranean mussel). Lineage: Eukaryota; Metazoa; Mollusca; Bivalvia; Mytilida; Mytilidae. The record is from RNAcentral.
GAUUGAGUUAUUUUGGGAGAAAAACGAGAAAAAAGGCAUCCGGAUAUUGUCCCGUCAUUGGACGAAAUUUUAAGUCAGAUUAGACUUCCGGUUUACGUUUUUCUGUAUACUUUGAACAUACAUAUUCUACGAAUAAAGUGUAUUUUCAGAAUUCUAUCUGCUAUCAUUUUCAAGUUUACUAUCCACGGCGGUCACAGAGUUUAUUAAAUAGAGAGG